CACCAGGUGCAUUCCUUAUCAAGGUUCUCAAGGUCAAGCGCUUCAAAAAUUUUGAGGUUAUGUAGUUGUGUUUGUAGUGUUCAAGUUGUUUAAAAUAUAAACAAAACGGAAUUUGGAUGUAUAAAUUUUACUUUUAACGUUGUUUUUUGGUUAAUUGUGGCAGUUAAUGGUUCAAGUAUGGCAGAGGAGCCAGACAUGCGAACGAAAAAACUCGUCCACGAGGGAUGCACCAUCCACAAGGAAAAGCCGUUCGUGUACGUCCUCAGCUCGAGGCUGAGGACCGAGCGCUGCGACUACUGCCUCAAAAAGGGGCAGUUCAUGAAGUGCUCGGGCUGCCACUACGUGCACUACUGUGGAAAGAUCUGCCAGAAGGACGGCUGGAGUGUGCAUAGAUUUGAGUGUAGAAACCUGAAGCGGGUGUCUCCAAGGGUGCUUCCAGACGCGGCGAGGCUUCUAGCCAGGUUGAUCCAGAUUCUGCGUAAAGGAGGCGAUCUGGUGAAGAGCUACUACCUGGAGAAUUGUUUCAGGAUGUACAAGGACUUGAUGUCGCACUAUCCAAAUAUCAAAGGCGAUAAACCCAGAAUGGAGCAUUUCACGUCUUUGUGCGCUGUUUUAUUUGAGUUUUUGGGCGAUGAUAUUCUUCCAAAUUCGGCUGAGUUGAUGGGCAUGUAUGGAAGGAUGUGUAUUAACAGCUUUAAUAUUAUGGACCAGGAGUUGCAGUGUUUAGGCACGGGAAUGUACCUAGGAGCGUCGGUUAUUGAUCACUCGUGCACUCCGAACGCCGUGGCCACUUUCGAGGGCCCGGUCCUGUACAUCCGGGCUCUAAAAACGUUCCAUUAUUUGGACUGGUCGCAGAUCCGUAUCAGUUACAUUGACAUUUUAAACACAACAAAAGACAGACAGAAAGAACUAGAGACGGCCUACUACUUCCUGUGUCAGUGCCCCAAAUGCCUGGGCCCCGAGCCGCCGGAAAUCCAGGCUGCCGCAUGCCCCAACCCAACCUGUGAUAACUCCAUCGACGCCCAGAACGCGAGUCCAGGCGACAGCUGCUCAAAAUGUGGAACACCGAUCUCCGAGACAUUCUUGUCCAAUUUUAACGAAGUCCUAGAGUUCACCGACAUGCAUCUACAAAACAUGAAGCAAAUGGCCUGUAUCCUUUCCAGGUGUUCAGUCCGCGGUUCGCGCCGUGACGUGUCUUCCUUAAGUAUAUACUUAGAUCUGGACGUGUGCGAAAUCUGCUUGCAGAAACAACGCGGUGUGUUACACAAAUACAACAUAAAACACGUCAAGACACUAGAUUUAGCUUUUCAAUCGAGUAUUGACUUUCAGAAGUGGGAUUUUGCCAGGACGCUCGCCCUUGAGCUAGUCGACGCUUAUUACAAGUACUACGGCGGCGUGCAUCCGGUGACGGGUCUGCUGCACCUAAAGCUGGGGAAGAUUCUGCUGUUUGAGGAAAGCGACGAAUUGGCGCUGGAGCAUCUGACCACUGCGUACAAAAUUUUGAAAAUCACGCAUGGUGUAGGCAGUAGUUUGUUCAAGGAGGAAUUGGGGCCGCUGCUAAAACAAGCGCAGAUGGCUUUGACUCAGGGAUGAGGUGUGGUCUGACACAAUCCCGGAAAUUUUUAUAAGGUGGAUAUUUUAGACUUGUUUAAUUUAAUUUUUAUAAUGAAAACAGUGUGUUGAAGUACAACUCACGAACUUAGUCAAGUCGGUUUGGGAAGCAAGUCGUUAAUAAAAAUGACGAAAUGCAGAUGUCUCCCGUUGGAUCCCUGAAGGACACCUUGUUAUUUUUUAAUUUUGUUGAUAAAUAAGUGAAGGUGUUGUUGAUGGGCUCACUACAGGGAUCACAUGUUGGCUGCUACCCCCAGGGGCCCUAAACAAGACCAAGUCUGUGAUAUGUGCCAUUUUUAAAGUGUGAUGUACUGUCGAUGUAACACAUUAAUAAAUAAAUAAUU
RNA transcript from Zophobas morio, 1955 nucleotides. It is a transcript of the gene named histone-lysine N-methyltransferase SMYD3-like, with no coding region annotated. The record is from RefSeq and is a predicted model, not a curated record. The transcript is spliced from 9 exons. Lineage: Eukaryota; Metazoa; Arthropoda; Insecta; Coleoptera; Tenebrionidae.